UGAGCCUCACACGGCUGGGAUGACACUCCUAUCAACUCCGACCACCACUGCCGCUUAUCAAGGUCAAAUCACCGGUUGACCCUUCACCAGCAGCCCCAAUCUUUCUCACUAAUUCAGCCCGACGCCCAAUGAAAGUUGAGCCCAGUCAGAGACAAUGGUCACACAAAUUGGUCCGAGCCAAAGCCUCCUGAGCAUGUUUCCACCCCAGGCAAACAGGACAGCACUCUGGAGUUUGAUCAGUUGAAUCUGGUAUCUUUGCAGUCAGUCAGGCAAUUUGUCCAGAGUACCAAGAGACGAGGCCUACCGCUGCACAUCUUAGUCAACAAUGCGGUGGUCAUGUUGGUCCCUGAGGGUCGUACAGAGGAGGGCUUUGAGCGUCACUUUGGGAUCAACUACCUAGGUCACUUCCUGUUGACCUUGCUGCUGUUAGACACAUUAAAGCAUUCUGGGAAACGUGGUUCCUGCUCACGUGUUGUCACCCUCUCCUCGUCAGCUCAUGGUGCUGGAGAGAUACAACUAGACAGCCUGCUAAACAGUCUUCAGGCAGUGUUAUUCGGCCCAUGCGGCGUACUCCCAGAGUAAGCUGGCACUACUGUUAUUUUCCUCCCACCUGCAACAGAGGCUGGAUAGAGGAGGGUUUCCAGUGAGCUCAUGUGCAGUGGACCCUGGGAUGGUCGACACUUCACUCUACUGCCACCUCUUCCCCACCGCCCGCCUCGCACAGACAGCCAUCGCACGCCUGCUCUUUAGGAGCCCGUCCCAGGGAGCGUCCACGGUCCUCUACACUGCUCUAUUUCCGUCUCUGGAGGGGGAGGGAGGAGCCUACUGGAGCAAUGGGCGCACAGAGAUGACAUCACCAAACACCUACGACCCACAGCUCCAUUGUGGCCUCUGGGACUCCAGCUGCAGACAAGUUGGCCUGCCAUGACCCCUGACCUUCAACCCCUGACCCUGACCCCCAACAUGGGACUGGAUGUCUGAGACCCAACACUUAGUCUGUCUGACUGGUGUUGUCUUUGUUUUGACAAUAUCCUCACCACCAGGCUGUGAUUGGACUGAUGACGACCAUGGCUAGACUGAUUGGUUAGUAAAGCGUUAAGUCCCUUCCCAUGCUGUUCAAAUGAAUGUGCUAAUGGGAAUGAAGCAACCUUCUCCCUCUGGCACUGUGAACAUACACACACAUACACUAUGUUAAGGGUAUUCAUAGUGCUGCUAUGAGUGUCUGUAGCGCCACUAUGAGUGUUAAUAGUGACCUUAUAAGUGUUCAUAGCAACCUUAUGACUGUUGGUUGACAGAUCAGAUCUUCCAGAACAGAAAGCACCUUCCCUCCAUGGGAGAACUUACUUUUGUCAUAAACAAGUGUCAUCAGUGUGUGUGUGUAUGUGUCUGUGUGUACUUGUCAUCAGUGAAUGUGUGUGCUUAUUAUGAUGUUAGAAGCAUCCAGGAGCAUCUGGUGUUCUGAUCCAUCUGUGAAGCAUAUACUGACCCCUGCCCGAGUGGAGGGUCCAGGACCAAUGAACAAGCCAGCAUGGUAACAUCAGUGAAUCACAGCCUGAAACUGAUAUUUUCAGUUCUUGUGAAAGCAAAGGGGAUUUUGUGGAAUUCUUGCCAAAGCUGCUGGUUUCCUCUCCAGGGGGCAGAAAUCAUCUGAGAGAAGGUCUUUAAAUUGUGUCCCGCCUCCUGGGCUGUGAGUCACACACACCUGUCUCAUGGUAUUUCUCUUUUACUGUUAGAGCUGAGCGAUGGUUUAUCAAUAUGCACAUAUCACCUCUCUCAAGUCCAGUCGUUGUGUGUGUUUCUGUGCACAGUGUGUGUAUUUGUGUGUGUUUCUGUGCACAGUGUGUGUAUUUGUGUGUGCGCUGUUUGUGUGUUUCUUCCAGUCAUUGGUUUGUAUGCAUCCAUAAAAAGGCAGCACAACUGAAACCAGUACUGAUAUUUGUGGCAGAGGGAGAGAAAGACAGUGAGUAAAGGAAAAGGAGACAGAGAGAUUCUUCAUCUACUCUCUCUGCUGCUACCUCGUUUGGCUUUGCUCCCAGUGCAUUCAUUGUGGGAGGGAAAUAUCCCAGUGAAAAUUCAGCAAAAUUAAGACAAAGACAAACAGUCACACACACAGAGGCAGAGUGUGACCAAAAAUGGGCCCUGUCAUUUCUAACACACUGGCCAUUUCGUUCCUUGAGGACCUCAUUAUUAGCCAGAUGAUUAUCAUUUUGAGUUAAAACCUAAGUUAGACAGGCCCAGUAGGCUGGACCAGCCCAUCUGGCAAGUCUGCCCCUGUGAAGAAAAAAACAAAAAACACACACAUAUAUAUUCAACUGUGCAUCCAAUCACACACAUGCUUAUCUAAACAAUCAACUCAUACUAUCAUGGCCCAGGCUGGCCUCAUAAACUAGACGUACCAUAGUGAAUUAAAGUCCAGACACUCAAAUUAGUAUCAUAUGUUACAUUUAGCAACACAAAGGUUGUGUGUUCGUAUCUCAUAAUGGACAGCUUUAGCGUUUUAGCUAAUUAGCAACUUUGCAACUACAUACUACUUUUGAGCUACUUUGCAACUAUUUAGCAUGUUAGCUAACCCUUCCCCUAAACUUAACCCUUUAACCUAACUCCUAACCUUAACCCUAGCGUGUGUUUACUUAGCAGAACACGUGUCAAACUGUCAGAGUUUAUCUAGAGGACAGCGAAGGAGUCAGGCGCAGGACACAGGUAAGAGUAAAACCACUGUGUUUACUGAGCAGAACACGUGUCAAACUGUCAGAGUCUAUCUAGAGGAGAGCGAAGGAGUCAGGUAAGAGUAAAACCACUGUGUUUACUGAGCAGAACACGUGUCAAACUGUCAGAGUCUAUCUAGAGGAGAGCGAAGGAGUCAGGUAAGAGUAAAACCACUGUGUUUACUGAGCAGAACACGUGUCAAACUGUCAGAGUCUAUCUAGAGGAGAGCGAAGGAGUCAGGCGCAGGACACAGGUAAGAGUAAAACCACUGUGUUUACUGAGCAGAACACGUGUCAAACUGUCAGAGUCUAUCUAGAGGACAGCAAAGUAGUCAGGCGCAGGACACAUGUAAGAGUAAAACCACUGUGUUUACUGAGCAGAACACGUGUCAAACUGUCAGUUUAUCUAGAGGACAGCGAAGGACUCAGGCGCAGGACACAGGUAAGAGUAAAACCACUGUGUUUACUGAGCAGAACACGUGUCAAACUGUCAGAGUCUAUCUAGAGGAGAGCGAAGGAGUCAGGCGCAGGACACAGGUAAGAGUAAAACCACUGUGUUUACUGAGCAGAACACGUGUCAAACUAUUUACUCCAUCCGAGAACGGAACAAAAAUCCCGUUAUAAAACAAAUACAAAAAAGGAUACGAACUCCAACACACGAAAGACAAUCACGCACAAAACAGAAAGGGAAACCAGAGGGUUAAAUAAGGAACAUAAUCAUGAGAUGGGAACCAGGUGU
Long non-coding RNA from Oncorhynchus tshawytscha (Chinook salmon), 3444 nucleotides. RefSeq lists it as uncharacterized. NCBI's taxonomy places the organism in Eukaryota, Metazoa, Chordata, Actinopteri, Salmoniformes, Salmonidae. The transcript is spliced from 6 exons. The record is from RefSeq and is a predicted model, not a curated record.